GGCAGCUGACUGAGUUCUUGCGGAAGGUGUCCAUGGGAGACUGCACAAGGUGGCUGGGGAACUUCUUGUUGCCCAGGGAGGAGAUGCUGGAGUCUACAGCGCAGCCACCCACAACCUCAGGAGCCGUCCCAUCCAAGGUCACGGCCACCAUGCCCAUGUCCUGGACCUUUCUCCUGCUCCUCACCGGCUCAGUCCUCCUUGUCAGGUGUCUUCACUAGCUUGACCAGUGCAGUUGAUGCAAGAUGUGAUAUGGAAGCUUGAAGAGCUUGAGGCAAAUGGGAUGGAGACAUUGGGCUGCCAGAGAAGGCUGAUGCACAAGUU
This is a non-coding RNA of Oryctolagus cuniculus (rabbit), 321 nucleotides long. The record is from RefSeq and is a predicted model, not a curated record. NCBI's taxonomy places the organism in Eukaryota, Metazoa, Chordata, Mammalia, Lagomorpha, Leporidae.